UCCAGCCGCGAGCCAGCGAGCGAGCCGAGCUCUGGAAACCAGCGGCGCGCUCGGUGCGCAGUCGUUCGCUUGCAAAGGAUUACAACCCCAGCGCCCAGAACAGCCGACUCGAACCUUGUUUCGCGGGUGCGGCUUUUUAAUUAUUAUUAUCAUCAUCAUCAUCAUCAUCACCGCUGUUGUUGUGCAUAUGUGGAGACGGGAACGCUGGAUUGUUUGGCUGGGAUCGGAGGAGAACUCUCCGCCGACGGAUCCGUCAGCUCGGGCUAGGUUGUGGCGGGGAAUUAAAUACACUGAUCGCCCUGAAUCCGAUUAGGCCUUUUGUCUGGAUCAGCUGACUGCGACCCUGCAGUAUAAUAGGCUGUGUGAUCUGAAGCCAAGGAUCUUGGACCGGUAGCAGUUCAGAGACUGAAAGACUAGGAGAUUACAUCAGAGGCUGCAACUCUGGCCUGACAUCUGCUACAUUUAAAGAACGAAAAAACCCAGCAGCCGGAGGGGAACGGAACAGCAGCCGCGGGACAGCAGCCGCGGGACAGCAGCCGCGGGACAGCAGCCGCGGGACAAAGCGGGACCACGGUGAUUGUUGCAGCAUGACCAGCCUGCUGUGAACCUUUAAAUGAGAAGACGGGGUUCGGUCCGGUUCCUUCGUGGUGGCAGCUUUCGGUUUCUGAGGAUCGGCUCAG
This is a non-coding RNA of Lepisosteus oculatus (spotted gar), 680 nucleotides long. The record is from RefSeq and is a predicted model, not a curated record. NCBI's taxonomy places the organism in Eukaryota, Metazoa, Chordata, Actinopteri, Semionotiformes, Lepisosteidae.